RNAcentral lists this ribosomal RNA (1343 nucleotides) under uncultured bacterium. RNAcentral's name for it is "16S ribosomal RNA". It matches the Rfam family "Bacterial small subunit ribosomal RNA", at positions 28 to 1378 of the family's 1533-position model. The record is from RNAcentral.
GACGAACGCUGGCGGCGUGCUUAACACAUGCAAGUCGAACGGAAAGGCCCUGCUUUUGUGGGGUGCUCGAGUGGCGAACGGGUGAGUAACACGUGAGUAACCUGCCCUUGACUUUGGGAUAACUUCAGGAAACUGGGGCUAAUACCGGAUAGGAGCUCCUGCUGCAUGGUGGGGGUUGGAAAGUUUCGGCGGUUGGGGAUGGACUCGCGGCUUAUCAGCUUGUUGGUGGGGUAGUGGCUUACCAAGGCUUUGACGGGUAGCCGGCCUGAGAGGGUGACCGGCCACAUUGGGACUGAGAUACGGCCCAGACUCCUACGGGAGGCAGCAGUGGGGAAUAUUGCACAAUGGGCGGAAGCCUGAUGCAGCAACGCCGCGUGCGGGAUGACGGCCUUCGGGUUGUAAACCGCUUUCGCCUGUGACGAAGCGUGAGUGACGGUAAUGGGUAAAGAAGCACCGGCUAACUACGUGCCAGCAGCCGCGGUGAUACGUAGGGUGCGAGCGUUGUCCGGAUUUAUUGGGCGUAAAGGGCUCGUAGGUGGUUGAUCGCGUCGGAAGUGUAAUCUUGGGGCUUAACCCUGAGCGUGCUUUCGAUACGGGUUGACUUGAGGAAGGUAGGGGAGAAUGGAAUUCCUGGUGGAGCGGUGGAAUGCGCAGAUAUCAGGAGGAACACCAGUGGCGAAGGCGGUUCUCUGGGCCUUUCCUGACGCUGAGGAGCGAAAGCGUGGGGAGCGAACAGGCUUAGAUACCCUGGUAGUCCACGCUGUAAACGGUGGGUACUAGGUGUGGGGUCCAUUCCACGGGUUCCGUGCCGUAGCUAACGCUUUAAGUACCCCGCCUGGGGAGUACGGCCGCAAGACUAAAACUCAAAGGAAUUGACGGGGCCCCGCACAAGCGGCGGAGCAUGCGGAUUAAUUCGAUGCAACGCGUAGAACCUUACCUGGGUUUGACAUGGAUCGGGAGCGCUCAGAGAUGGGUGUGCCUCUUUUGGGGUCGGUUCACAGGUGGUGCAUGGCUGUCGUCAGCUCGUGUCGUGAGAUGUUGGGUUAAGUCCCGCAACGAGCGCAACCCUUGUUCACUGUUGCCAGCACGUUAUGGUGGGGACUCAGUGGAGACCGCCGGGGUCAACUCGGAGGAAGGUGGGGAUGACGUCAAGUCAUCAUGCCCCUUAUGUCCAGGGCUUCACGCAUGCUACAAUGGCUGGUACAGAGAGUGGCGAGCCUGUGAGGGUGAGCGAAUCUCGGAAAGCCGGUCUCAGUUCGGAUUGGGGUCUGCAACUCGACCUCAUGAAGUCGGAGUCGCUAGUAAUCGCAGAUCAGCAACGCUGCGGUGAAUACGUUCCCGGG